Molecule: long non-coding RNA, 764 nt
Organism: Dermacentor albipictus
Lineage: Eukaryota; Metazoa; Arthropoda; Arachnida; Ixodida; Ixodidae
Source: RefSeq, a predicted model, not a curated record
GGUCGAUGCCACGAAGAGCGGCACCUAUUUCGCCCGUGUACUACGUAGCCGGGCCGACUUCACGCUUUACUCACACCAGCCGCGCCACACCUGCUAGCUCAACCAUGACAUGGGGCCUGUUUCACCGAUCGCCAACUGCCCACCUGUUCACCUUGCGGCCUGCUAGCUUGCUGGCCGGCUGAUCAAGGAGCGAGUAACGGACAGCGUUCGGCGCAACAACUAAGCCACGAGUGUGGGCGGUCAGCGAUAACAUCGUCGCUGAUGACUGACGGCAGCGGUGACGUCAGGAGCCUGGACGGUGCCAACACCUAUAAAACGAAGGACCAAACCAUGCUGGAGUGCAGUCCGGUGGAGCGUCGACCAACGUGCUGAUCUUUGCUGCUUACUUCUAGUGAAGCCACCACAGAGCGAGCGCAUGGCGAGGAGGUCGUCAUAUCCACGGAAAGACCACCUGUAUGACGCGGCGCCGACUCGGGGGCCACGGCAGACGCGACCAGCGGCUCCCUUCUUGCUGCGGUGCGGAGCAAGCUGACGUCACGCGUAAUAGCAACGGAUAGAGCUGACGUCACACCACGUGCACCGGCUCUGGUGGGGCCACGGUUAGACCUGGCAUAGUAUUGCUUUGGCAAUAAAAGUGUGCGGAUGCGGUCGCGGAUAACACUUUAAACUCGGCGGUCGAACACAUGGCUUGCCACAAGGGGAACACAUCUUGCUACUCUCGCAAAGAAGAGACGCCGUGGACAUGCACAGCGACCACAGGGACG